RNAcentral lists this ribosomal RNA (390 nucleotides) under uncultured bacterium. RNAcentral describes it as "bacterial SSU rRNA". It matches the Rfam family "Bacterial small subunit ribosomal RNA", at positions 29 to 408 of the family's 1533-position model. The record is from RNAcentral.
AAUGAACGCUGGCGGCGCGCCUAAUACAUGCAAGUCGAGCGAGAAGACGUAGCAAUACGUUUGUAAAGCGGCGAACGGGUGAGGAAUACAUGGGUAACCUACCCUCGAGUGGGGAAUAACUAGCCGAAAGGUUAGCUAAUACCGCGUACGCUUCUUGGACUUCGGUUCAGGGAGGAAAGCGAUGCCGAGGGUAUCGCGCUCUUGGAUGGGCUCAUGUCCUAUCAGCUUGUUGGNGAGGUAACGGCUCACCAAGGCUUCGACGGGUAGCUGGUCUGAGAGGACGAUCAGCCACACUGGCACUGCGACACGGGCCAGACUCCUACGGGAGGCAGCAGUAAGGAAUAUUGCGCAAUGGGCGAAAGCCUGACGCAGCGACGCCGCGGUGGGGGA